This 203-nucleotide ribosomal RNA is filed under the name uncultured Chromatiaceae bacterium. RNAcentral's name for it is "partial 16S ribosomal RNA". It matches the Rfam family "Bacterial small subunit ribosomal RNA", at positions 1004 to 1205 of the family's 1533-position model. Lineage: Bacteria; Pseudomonadati; Pseudomonadota; Gammaproteobacteria; Chromatiales; Chromatiaceae. The record is from RNAcentral.
AGCACUUGGUCGUCCUUCGGGACACCGAGUGACAGGUGCUGCAUGGCUGUCGUCAGCUCGUGUCGUGAGAUCGUUGGGUUAAGUCCCGUAACGAGCGCAACCCUUGUCCCUAGUUGCCAGCGGUUCGGGCGGGAACUCUAGGGAGACUGCCGGUGACAAACCGGAGGAAGGUGGGGAUGACGUCAAGUCAUCAUGGCCCUUAU